Molecule: ribosomal RNA, 253 nt
Filed under: uncultured bacterium
Lineage: Bacteria
Description: partial 16S ribosomal RNA
Rfam family: Bacterial small subunit ribosomal RNA
Source: RNAcentral
UACGAAGGGGGCUAGCGUUGCUCGGAAUCACUGGGCGUAAAGCGCACGUAGGCGGAUUGCUAAGUCAGGGGUGAAAUCCUGGAGCUCAACUCCAGAACUGCCUUUGAUACUGGCAACCUUGAGUCCGGGAGAGGUGAGUGGAACUGCGAGUGUAGAGGUGAAAUUCGUAGAUAUUCGCAAGAACACCAGUGGCGAAGGCGGCUCACUGGCCCGAUACUGACGCUGAGACGCGAAAGCGUGGGGAGCAAACAGG